RNAcentral lists this ribosomal RNA (467 nucleotides) under uncultured bacterium. RNAcentral's name for it is "partial 16S ribosomal RNA". It matches the Rfam family "Bacterial small subunit ribosomal RNA", at positions 28 to 507 of the family's 1533-position model. The record is from RNAcentral.
GACGAACGCUGGCGGCGUGCUUAACACAUGCAAGUCGAACGGAAAGGCGCCAACUUUCUGGAGUACUCGAUUGGCGAACGGGUGAGUAACACGUGGGUAAUCUGCCCUUCACUCUGUGAUAAGCCUGGGAAACUGGGUCUAAUACUGGAUAUGACCUUUCUCCUUAUGUGGUUUGGUGGAAGGUUUUUCGUUUUAGGAUGAGCCCGCAGCCUAUCAGCUUGUUGGUGGUGUGAUGUCCUACCAAGGCUACGACGGGUAGCCCGCCUGAGAGGGUGAACGGCGACCUUGGGACUGCGAUAGGCACCAGAAUGGUACGGGACGCAGCAGUCGGGAAUAUUGCACAACGGGGGGAAGCCUGAUGCAGAGACGCAGCGUGCGGGAUGACGGGCUUCGGGUUGUAAACCUAUUUCAGAAGGGAUGAAGAGUAAGUGACGGUACCUGCAGAAGAAGCCACGGCUAACUAGGUG